CCUACGUGUGGCUGCAGUCGAGAAUCAUUCACAAUGGGGGAAACCCUGAUGGUGCGACGCCGCGUGGGGGAAUGAAGGUCUUCGGAUUGUAAACCCCUGUCAUGUGGGAGCAAAUUAAAAAGAUAGUACCACAAGAGGAAGAGACGGCUAACUCUGUGCCAGGAGCCGCGGUAAUACUGAGGUCUCAAGCGUUGUUCGGAAUCACUGGGCGUAAAGCGUGCGUAGGCUGUUUCGUAAGUCGUGUGUGAAAGGCGCGGGCUCAACCCGCGGACGGCACAUGAUACUGCGAGACUAGAGUAAUGGAGGGGGGACCGGAGUUCUCGGUGUAGCAGUGAAAUGCGUGGAUGUCGAGGGGAACACUCGUGGCGAAGGCGGGUUCCUGGACAUUAACUGACGAUGAGGCACGAAGGCCAGGGGAGCGAGAGGGAUUAGAUACCCUGGUAAUA
RNAcentral lists this ribosomal RNA (446 nucleotides) under uncultured bacterium. RNAcentral's name for it is "partial 16S ribosomal RNA". It matches the Rfam family "Bacterial small subunit ribosomal RNA", at positions 338 to 795 of the family's 1533-position model. The record is from RNAcentral.